This 232-nucleotide ribosomal RNA is filed under the name uncultured bacterium. Its description in RNAcentral is "partial 16S ribosomal RNA". It matches the Rfam family "Bacterial small subunit ribosomal RNA", at positions 99 to 334 of the family's 1533-position model. The record is from RNAcentral.
CGGACGGGUGAGUAAUGUCUGGGAAACUGCCCGAUGGAGGGGGAUAACUACUGGAAACGGUAGCUAAUACCGCAUAACGUCGCAAGACCAAAGAGGGGGACCUUCGGGCCUCUUGCCAUCGGAUGUGCCCAGAUGGGAUUAGCUAGUAGGUGGGAUAACGGCUCACCUAGGCGACGAUCCCUAGCUGGUCUGAGAGGAUGACCAGCCACACUGGAACUGAGACACGGUCCAG